This 408-nucleotide ribosomal RNA is filed under the name uncultured bacterium. Its description in RNAcentral is "bacterial SSU rRNA". It matches the Rfam family "Bacterial small subunit ribosomal RNA", at positions 976 to 1381 of the family's 1533-position model. The record is from RNAcentral.
UAGCCUUGAUAUCCUUGGAAUCUCUCAGAGAUGAGAGAGUGCUAGUUUACUAGAGCCAAGUGACAGGUGCUGCACGGCUGUCGUCAGCUCGUGUCGUGAGAUGUUGGGUUAAGUCCCGCAACGAGCGCAACCCUCGUCCUUAGUUACUAACGGUUCGGCCGAGGACUCUAAGGAGACUGCCUUCGUAAGGAGGAGGAAGGUGAGGACGACGUCAAGUCAUCAUGGCCCUUACGGCUAGGGCAACACACGUGCUACAAUGGUUAGGACAAUGAGAAGCGAUACCGCGAGGUGGAGCAAAUCUAUAAACCUAAUCUCAGUUCGGAUAGCAGUCUGCAACUCGACUGCUUGAAGCUGGAAUCACUAGUAAUCGUAAAUCAGCUAUGUUACGGUGAAUACGUUCCCGGGUCU